GUUUUAGAUUUUAUGGUAUAUAUUCUCUAAUAAAUAUACACCUUAAGGAAAAAAGGUGGUUUUAUUUCAGUUUUAUAAAAACAUAGGACUUUCUUAGACAUUAUUGUAGUUGUCAGUUUUGAAAGCUACAAGGUGUAUAAACAGUUUUAGUUAUAUGUGACAGACACUGGUUCUCUUAUAUUAAAACCAGUAAUAUUUACAAAAUACUGUCACAAAUGUAGUUAAGUUUUUCUUAUCAUCCAAUAUUGAUAUGGGGAAAAAUUAAAUGGCAAAUUAAAUAUUUCUUGCUUUCAUUCCUAAAUAAUGAACAAACUUUGAGCAAAAGAAGAUUGGAGAAAAAUUGGAACAGUGGUAAAGGUAUCCUGUCCUAGGGAUAUUGCCUGAUUAAGUGCCAUUUGUUGCCAGGCUCAGGGCUGAGUGUCAUGAGGGAUGCAAAUUACUGUUUUUACCUUUAGGAACCAUAUGGCUUAGGGCUGGCACAUGCCCAGUGGUAGACUGCUUGCCUGGCAUGCACAAGGCUCUGGAGUCAAUCUCAGCACUACAAAAAGAAAAGGUUGAGAUGAUAAUAUAAAGUGACCUAUAUGAAAUAAUAAAAUGCAGUGCACUUCUACAUAGCUGUAUGGAUUCUAGUUUUUGUUAUCUUAAGAAAUAUUAUAAUUUGUCCAUUUUCCAUAAUUGAAUGAGAAAUUGAGUAACUAGAAAUCAAAGUUUAAAAUAUAUCAAAGCCUUUGUGUUUUCUUCAAAAUUAUAGCCAUAGGACAUGGACACAUCUUAUGUUUUACCUUUCCUCCUCUUUUGAAGGUAUAAGCAAAUAACAAAACAACUAUCAGGCCAGUGAUCAUGUGAAGAGGGAAACACAAAAGAGUUGGAAUAUAAAGACCAGAAUAACUAAAACAUAGCAAUGCAAAAAGUGGAAAACAAAAAACUUUUUAUAAAUAAGAAGUAUGUAAAUAAAAAAUUACUAAGUAACAACAAAGCUUUGUAAUUGCUGUCCUGUCUUCAGGGUAGGUUAUUUAGACACAUUAUAUAGCCCUUUUUAAGUAAAAACAACAAGCGAAAAACAUUAGAGAUUCUUGCAAAUUAUUCUGAGCUGACCUAGGAAAUCAGGUAAAAAAAAGAAGACAGCCCUACUGAGCAGUCAGGGAGUGGCACAGGUCAGUCUACUGGUAGCUCCAGAUCCUUGGUGCUUGAAGUAUGGAAACAUUCUAAUUUGCGGGAUGCAUGUGGAUUUGGUUAUUUAAAAAGAAUGUGAAAGCCUAUAUUUUAUUCUUAUAAAGGAAAGCACUAUGAAUUUUCUUAGUUACUGAUUUUUCCCUUCUUUCCCAUAGUACUACCUACAUAUGGAUGGCAGAGGCAAUUAUGAAUUCAAACAGAUCACAGAAGAUACAGUUGAGUUUGGCUCUUAGAGAAAUCUGGAGUAACUGUACCUGCUUCAAUGAAAUCAAAUUAUUACAGAAUACUCUUAGAAAUACAAAGUGCAUUGUAAAAUAAAGUUGAGCUUGUUUUUUUUUUUUUUUUUUGAAAAAAAAAAACAAAACAACGAAUUAACUAGGUAAAGUGUAAUUGAGGACAUAUUAAAACAUUUAAUAUUAUAUAGGAUAUUGCUAAUUGUGUAUAUGUUGGUUUAAUUAUUAAUAUGUACUAAGAAUGUCCUUAUUCUUGUGGUUAAAAACCUGCCUAAAUUAAAUUGGGCUUAAAUCAGUGUAAUCUGAUUCAUCCUGGGAUGUAAACCAUUUGAAGUCAGCUAAUCUGACUUUUAUGGCUCUGUCUUUUCCUUCAAUGAAGAGCCCUGUUUAAAACUGGGGUCAUCUCUUGUCCAGUUCAAACAAAGUAGUCUUGAGUUUCAUUUUCUUGUGCCCCAUGGUAAUGGGAACCAAACGAAUCACAGUAUAUUCUUAAAAUGUAUGACAUCUCUUUGCUUAAUGGCAUUUAUCACACAGUGGCAGAUUUCUUUUGCUGCCAAUUAUACUCAUUCCUUAUAUAUGCCUUGGGGUGUACUUGACCCCAAGAGAGCCAUUUGGACUUUAUUAAGCUAAAUAAUAAAUGUGCCCUUCUCAAUCUGCAGGAUUGAGUUGUUUUGAGGGUUCUUUGUGGUGAUGUAAUGAAAGUGUAUGUAUAGUCUUGCCUAGAAGGGAUGGUUACUACAUGUCACACCUAGUCUUCCCAAUGUUUGGGAUAUUAAAAUGCAAAGUUCUUACAUGUCAAGCUCAAGGUCUUACAAGCAGUUUAGAUCUUGAAGAAAAUUGGACAGAUUUGUGUGUUAGGAGCCUACUCUUUAGAAGCGUGGUGGUCAUAUGGUCUUAGACUCCAGGUGAGCCAUAGGUAAUGCACCACGUGAAGCAAUGCACUGAGUAUGCAGGGCCAUCACAGUCUCUGACUGUGAUUUUAUUUUGAAGAAUAUGUUAAAAAUUAUCACACACAUGGGUGAAUUAUGUUUCCUAGGUACUGGUUUAUCUCUGAAUCUUGAAUAACUUUUUCACAUUUGGGUUAUUAUAUUAAAACUAUCCUAAGUGAAUUUCAGUUCACCAAACCAACAUUAAUGACUACAUGUAUUAUUUGCACAAGGAGAACUGAAUCUGAGUGUAAUUAAUAAGCUAGACAUGAAUCAGUUUUAUCAACGUGGGUUUGGAAAGGGGCAUUUUAUAAUCUUGUUUCUGCAACUGGUUUUAUUUUUUGCAAAAUUAACUAAAAUCACUGGCUAUCGAAGUAAACUUGAUGUACUGAUUACAUAAUACAUAACAUUCAGUUUUUACCACUUCUGUUUAGCAAACUUGUAUACUUAUUUUCUGUUCAGAUUAAAAAAAAAUCAGAUACCCUAUACAACCUUUGCUUGUUUUUUUUUUUUGUUGUUGUUGUUGUUUGUUUAUUUUUUUUAUUCUGGUAUCUAAAUACUGGUGGUUCAUGCAUAGUUCAUAUAGUCUUGACUUGAAAAAAACAAAAAUAAAUUAACAUUCAGAAAGGACCUUCAAGCACAUGUCUCUUUUUACAGUUUUGUUGAAUUUGGUUUGUAUGUGCAUUUAUUUCUUUUUUAGAAAAUCCUAAUAAAAUCUUCAGUGUACUUCACAAAUGCUACUAAAUACCUAGGAGACCUUGGCGCCCUAGGAAAGAUUUUAAGACCCAAAAAGUGC
RNAcentral lists this long non-coding RNA (3128 nucleotides) under Marmota monax (woodchuck). The record is from RNAcentral. Lineage: Eukaryota; Metazoa; Chordata; Mammalia; Rodentia; Sciuridae.